Molecule: ribosomal RNA, 465 nt
Filed under: Vreelandella stevensii
Lineage: Bacteria; Pseudomonadati; Pseudomonadota; Gammaproteobacteria; Oceanospirillales; Halomonadaceae
Description: partial 16S ribosomal RNA
Rfam family: Bacterial small subunit ribosomal RNA
Source: RNAcentral
CCUACGGGGGGCAGCAGUGGGGAAUAUUGGACAAUGGGCGAAAGCCUGAUCCAGCAAUGCCGCGUGUGUGAAGAAGGCCUUCGGGUUGUAAAGCACUUUCAGUGGGGAAGAAAGCCUUGGGGCUAAUACCCUCGAGGAAGGACAUCACCCACAGAAGAAGCACCGGCUAACUCCGUGCCAGCAGCCGCGGUAAUACGGAGGGUGCGAGCGUUAAUCGGAAUUACUGGGCGUAAAGCGCGCGUAGGCGGUCUGAUAAGUCGGUUGUGAAAGCCCAGGGCUCAACCUGGGAACGGCAUCCGGAACUGUCAGGCUAGAGUGCAGGAGAGGAAGGUAGAAUUCCCGGUGUAGCGGUGAAAUGCGUAGAGAUCGGAAGGAAUACCAGUGGCGAAGGCGGCCUUCUGGUCUGACACUGACGCUGAGGUGCGAAAGCGUGGGUAGCAAACAGGAUUAGAUACCCCGGUAGUC